Mycobacterium haemophilum is the source of this 177-nucleotide regulatory RNA element. It matches the Rfam family "M-box riboswitch aptamer (ykoK leader)". From Rfam's summary of the family: M-box riboswitch, also know as ykoK leader is described as a metaloregulatory RNA that sense divalent metals and function as a genetic control element of genes related to divalent metal transport in bacteria. It was first reported upstream of the B.subtilis ykoK gene and genes with related functions in other bacteria. Phylogenetic analysis of the distribution of M-box RNAs across bacterial genomes revealed that M-box riboswitches are most often employed for the regulation of Mg2+ transporter genes The record is from Rfam. Lineage: Bacteria; Bacillati; Actinomycetota; Actinomycetes; Mycobacteriales; Mycobacteriaceae.
CAAGCACCUCGCUAGGUGAGGCGUCUGCACGGAUAUAGGCCACUGACCUCGAACGUCGAAAGACGCCCAGGGUCAGGACAGCUCCUCCCGGAUUAAGGGUUGAGCCCAAGUGGCUUCCGACUCUGAUUGAGCCGGAUACGCCGUGUGGUGCCAAAGCUCUGACGAGAGGGGUGCCGU